This 393-nucleotide ribosomal RNA is filed under the name uncultured bacterium. Its description in RNAcentral is "partial 16S ribosomal RNA". It matches the Rfam family "Bacterial small subunit ribosomal RNA", at positions 523 to 918 of the family's 1533-position model. The record is from RNAcentral.
AUACGGAGGAUGCGAGCGUUAUCCGGAUUUAUUGGGUUUAAAGGGAGCGUAGGUGGGAUAUUAAGUCAGCUGUGAAAGUUUGGGGCUCAACCUUAAAAUUGCAGUUGAUACUGGUUUCCUUGAGUACGGUACAGGUGGGCGGAAUUCGUGGUGUAGCGGUGAAAUGCUUAGAUAUCACGAAGAACUCCGAUCGCGAAGGCAGCUCACCGGGCCGGAACUGACACUGAUGCUCGAAAGUGCGGGUAUCAAACAGGGUUAGAUACCCUGGUAGUCCGCACAGUAAACGAUGAAUACUCGCUGUUUGCGAUACACGGUAAGCGGCCAAGCGAAAGCGUUAAGUAUUCCACCUGGGGAGUACGCCGGCAACGGUGAAACUCAAAGGAAUUGGCGGGG